GAUGAAGAACGUAGCGAAAUGCGAUAAGUAAUGCGAAUUGCAGAAUUCAGUGAGUCAUCGAAUCUUUGAACGCACAUUGCGCCCUGUGGUAUUCCGCAGGGCAUGCCUGUUCGAGCGUCAUUUCAACCCUCAAGCCCCGCUUGGUGUUGGGCCCCGCCCGCCGUGGCCGGCCCUAAAGACAGUGGCGGCGCCGCCUGGCCCUCAGCGUAGUACAGCUCUCGCUCCAGGGUCCGGCGGCCGCCUGCCAGAACCCCCCAACUCUGUGGUUGACCUCGGAUCAGGUAGGGAUACCCGCUGAACUUAAGCAUAUCAAUAAGCGGAGGA
RNAcentral lists this unclassified non-coding RNA (324 nucleotides) under soil metagenome. Its description in RNAcentral is "partial contains 5.8S ribosomal RNA, internal transcribed spacer 2, and large subunit ribosomal RNA". The stretch from base 1 to 120 matches the Rfam family "5.8S ribosomal RNA", at positions 35 to 154 of the family's 154-position model. The record is from RNAcentral.